This 308-nucleotide small nuclear RNA is filed under the name Jaculus jaculus (lesser Egyptian jerboa). Its description in RNAcentral is "7SK RNA (ENSJJAG00000008141.1)". It matches the Rfam family "7SK RNA". From Rfam's summary of the family: 7SK was discovered as an abundant small nuclear RNA in the mid-70s but a possible function has only recently been suggested. Lineage: Eukaryota; Metazoa; Chordata; Mammalia; Rodentia; Dipodidae. The record is from Rfam by way of RNAcentral.
GGAUGGGAGGGCGAUCUGGCUGUGGCAUCUGACACCCCAAUGGUGGUCUGGGUUGAUUCAGCUGAUCUGGCUGGCUAAGCGGGUGUCCCUUUCCUCCCUCACCAUGCCAUGUGCAUCCCUCCCGAAGCUGUGUGCUCGGUCAGAGGACAACUUUCCCUGAAUAGAGGAGGGCUAGUCUCAGGUCAAGGGCAUACAAGUGGCUGUGUUCCCCUGCUAGAAGCUCCAAACAAGCUCUCAAGAACAGAUGUUUAGGGCUGGAGAGAUGGCUUAACAGUUAAAGCACUUGCCUGGCAAGCCAAAAGACCCAG